UGACGUCAAAUCAUCAUGCCCCUUAUGACCUGGGCUACACACGUGCUACAAUGGUUGGUACAACGAGUUGCGAGUCGGUGACGGCGAGCUAAUCUCUUAAAGCCAAUCUCAGUUCGGAUUGUAGGCUGCAACUCGCCUACAUGAAGUCGGAAUCGCUAGUAAUCGCGGAUCAGCACGCCCGCGGUCGAAUACGUUCCGGGCCUU
RNAcentral lists this ribosomal RNA (204 nucleotides) under uncultured Streptococcus sp. Its description in RNAcentral is "partial 16S ribosomal RNA". It matches the Rfam family "Bacterial small subunit ribosomal RNA", at positions 1180 to 1382 of the family's 1533-position model. The record is from RNAcentral. Lineage: Bacteria; Bacillati; Bacillota; Bacilli; Lactobacillales; Streptococcaceae.